CAGGAUUAGAUACCCUGGUAGUCCACGCAGUAAACGAUGAUAACUCGUUGUCGGCGAUACACAGUCGGUGACUAAGCGAAAGCGAUAAGUUAUCCACCUGGGGAGUACGUUCGCAAGAAUGAAACUCAAAGGAAUUGACGGGGGCCCGCACAAGCGGAGGAACAUGUGGUUUAAUUCGAUGAUACGCGAGGAACCUUACCCGGGCUUGAAAGUUAGCGACGAUUCUUGAAAGAGGAUUUCCCUUCGGGGCGCGAAACUAGGUGCUGCAUGGUUGUCGUCAGCUCGUGCCGUGAGGUGUCGGGUUAAGUCCCAUAACGAGCGCAACCCCUACCGUUAGUUGCCAUCAGGUCAAGCUGGGCACUCUGGCGGGACUGCCGGUGUAAGCCGAGAGGAAGGUGGGGAUGACGUCAAAUCAGCACGGCCCUUACGUCCGGGGCUACACACGUGUUACAAUGGUAGGUACAGAGGGUAGCUACCCAGCGAUGGGAUGCGAAUCUCGAAAGCCUAUCUCAGUUCGGAUUGGAGGCUGAAACCCGCCUCCAUGAAGUUGGAUUCGCUAGUAAUCGCGCAUCAGCCAUGGCGCGGUGAAUACGUUCCCGGGCCUUGUACACACCGCCCGUCAAGCCAUGGGAGCCGGGGGUGCCUGAAGUUCGUGACCGCAAGGAGCGACCUAGGGCAAAACUGGUGACUGGGGCUAAGUCGUAACAAGGUAGCCGUACCGGAAGGUGCGGCUG
This 734-nucleotide ribosomal RNA is filed under the name human gut metagenome. RNAcentral describes it as "bacterial SSU rRNA". It matches the Rfam family "Bacterial small subunit ribosomal RNA", at positions 773 to 1520 of the family's 1533-position model. The record is from RNAcentral.